Molecule: ribosomal RNA, 497 nt
Filed under: uncultured bacterium
Lineage: Bacteria
Description: partial 16S ribosomal RNA
Rfam family: Bacterial small subunit ribosomal RNA
Source: RNAcentral
GAUGAACGCUGGCGGCGUGCCUAAUACAUGCAAGUCGAGCGAACAGACGAGGAGCUUGCUCCUCUGACGUUAGCGGCGGACGGGUGAGUAACACGUGGAUAACCUACCUAUAAGACUGGGAUAACUUCGGGAAACCGGAGCUAAUACCGGAUAACAUGUUGAACCGCAUGGUUCAACAGUGAAAGACGGUCUUGCUGUCACUUAUAGAUGGAUCCGCGCCGCAUUAGCUAGUUGGUAAGGUAACGGCUUACCAAGGCAACGAUGCGUAGCCGACCUGAGAGGGUGGUCGGCCACACGGGAACUGAGACACGGUCCAGACUCCUACGGGAGGCAGCAGUAGGGAAUCUUCCGCAAUGGGCGAAAGCCUGACGGAGCAACGCCGCGUGAGUGAAGAAGGUCUUCGGAUCGUAAAACUCUGUUAUUAGGGAAGAACAAAUGUGUAAGUAACUAUGCACGUCUUGACGGUACCUAAUCAGAAAGCCACGGCUAACUACGUG